CUCCACCCAAACAGUUCAGCGUUAUGCUCGUUGAAUCGCCUAAGGAUGGGGCCGCGACCGAUCAGGUUGUUGGUGAGGUAAUGGCUCACCAAGCCUUUUACCGGUGCGGGCCGUGAGAGCGGGAGCCCGGAGAUGGGCACUGAGACAAGGGCCCAGGCCCUACGGGGCGCAGCAGUCGCGAAAACUUUGUAAUAAGCGAAAGCUUGACAGGGCUAUCCCGAGUGCCAUCCGCUGAGGAAGGCUUUUACCCAGUCUAGAACGCUGGGGGAAUAAGGAGAGGGCAAGUCUGGUGUCAGCCGCCGCGGUAAUACCAGCUCUCCGAGUGGUGUGGAUGUUUAUUGGGCCUAAAGCAUCCGUAGCUGGCUAAGUUAGUCCCUUGUUAAAAAAAAAAAAAUUAAUCGUUGGAUUGCGGGGGAUACUGCUUGGCUAGGGGACGAGAGAGGCAGACGGUAUUUUCGGGGUAGGGGUGAAAUCCUAUAAUCCCGGGAAGACCACCAGUGGCGAAGGCUGUCUGCUAGAACGCGCCCGACGGUGAGGGAUGAAAGCUGGGGGAGCGAACCGGAUUAGAUACCCGGGUAGUCCCAGCUGUAAACGAUGCACUCUCUCGUACGACGUGCGGCCACGUGCCGUUCUAGUGCCGCAGGGAAGCUGUUAAGUUGAAGGAUCUCGGUACGAUCGCAAGAUUGAAACUU
This 692-nucleotide ribosomal RNA is filed under the name uncultured archaeon. RNAcentral describes it as "bacterial SSU rRNA". It matches the Rfam family "Archaeal small subunit ribosomal RNA", at positions 180 to 857 of the family's 1478-position model. The record is from RNAcentral.